CACAUUAGACCCUGGAACUCCUGGCCCAGUGUCUUAGUCAGGGUUCUCUAGAGUCACAGAACUUAUGGAUAGUGUCUAUAUAUUAAGGGGAUUUGUUAUGAUGACUUAGAGUCUGUUGUCCAACUCCCCAACAAUGGUCAGCUGUGAAUGGGGAGUCCAAGGAUCUAGUAGUUGCUCAGUCCCACAAAGCUAGCAGAUCCAACAGAUGUGUUGGCAAGUCAAUGCAAGCAGGCGAAGAAGAGUGAAUCUUCCUUCUUUCAAUGUCCUUAUGUAGGUCUCCAGUAGAAGGUGUGGCCCAGAUUAAAGGACCUUCACCGGCUCCCAGACAGCUGCUUUCAUGUGGCAUCUACUCCUGACCCCAAGAUGGGAGAGGAGAAUGAAGAAGGAAAAGAUGAUGGGAAAAUCGUCCUGGACUUGAACGGUUAUAAGUGGGUUUACUUGGGUAUUUCUGGUCUGGUAGGUGACUAAGGCUGGUGC
Molecule: long non-coding RNA, 477 nt
Filed under: Mus spretus (western wild mouse)
Lineage: Eukaryota; Metazoa; Chordata; Mammalia; Rodentia; Muridae
Description: lncRNA (ENSMSPG00010031364.1)
Source: RNAcentral